RNAcentral lists this ribosomal RNA (253 nucleotides) under uncultured bacterium. RNAcentral describes it as "partial 16S ribosomal RNA". It matches the Rfam family "Bacterial small subunit ribosomal RNA", at positions 524 to 776 of the family's 1533-position model. The record is from RNAcentral.
UACGGAGGGUGCGAGCGUUGUCCGGAAUCACUGGGCGUAAAGGGCGCGUAGGCGGUCUGCUAAGCGUGCGGUGAAAGCCUGGGGCUCAACCCCAGGUCUGCCGUGCGAACUGGUGGACUUGAGCACUGUAGAGGCAGGUGGAAUUCCGGGUGUAGCGGUGGAAUGCGUAGAGAUCCGGAAGAACACCAGUGGCGAAGGCGGCCUGCUGGGCAGUUGCUGACGCUAAAGCGCGACAGCGUGGGGAGCAAACAGG